This 951-nucleotide non-coding RNA is filed under the name Rasbora pauciperforata (red-stripped rasbora). RNAcentral describes it as "12S ribosomal RNA". It matches the Rfam family "Bacterial small subunit ribosomal RNA". Lineage: Eukaryota; Metazoa; Chordata; Actinopteri; Cypriniformes; Danionidae. The record is from RNAcentral.
CAAAGGCAUGGUCCCGACCUUUCUAUCAGCCUUAACUCAACUUACACAUGCAAGUAUCCGCAGCCCCGUGAAUAUGCCCCAACCCCCUAAUAAGGGAACAAGGAGCAGGCAUCAGGAACAAAACUUUUAGCCCAAGACGCCUAGCUAAGCCACACCCCCAAGGGAAUUCAGCAGUGAUAAACAUUAAGCCAUGGGUGAAAGCCCGACUUAGUUAGAGUUAAAAGGGCCGGUAAAAUUCGUGCCAGCAACCGCGGUUAAACGAAUGACCCUAGUUGAUAGACCCACGGCGUAAAGGGUGGUUAAGGAGAACAAAAAUAAAGCUAAAUGGCCCAUUGGCUGUCAUACGCUUCUAGGAGUCCGAAACCCAAAUACGAAAGUUACUUUAAUUUAAAUACCUGACCCCACGAAAGCUGAGAAACAAACUGGGAUUAGAUACCCCACUAUGCUCAGCCACAAACAAAGACACACAUUUACAAUGGUGUCCGCCCGGGUAUUACGAGCAUCAGCUUAAAACCCAAAGGACCUGACGGUGCCUUAGACCCCCCUAGAGGAGCCUGUUCUAUAACCGAUAAUCCCCGUUAAACCUCACCAUUUCUGGUCAACCCAGCCUAUAUACCACCGUCGCCAGCUUACCCUGUGAAGGAGUUAGAGUAAGCAAAAAGAGUACUACUCAAAACGUCAGGUCGAGGUGUAGCGAACGAAAUGGGAAGAAAUGGGCUACAUUUUCUAUCUCAGAAUAUAACGAAUAUGCAUCAUGAAACAAUGCUUAAAGGAGGAUUUAGUAGUAAAAAGGAAAUAGAGUGUCCUUUUGAACCCGGCUCUGAGGCGCGUACACACCGCCCGUCACUCUCUCCCGUCAUAAUGUAUAAAAACCUACCUAACACAAAAGCACUGACAAGGAGAGGCAAGUCGUAACAAGGUAAGUGUACCGGAAGGUGCACUUGGAUAACC